Molecule: ribosomal RNA, 670 nt
Filed under: Salmonella enterica
Lineage: Bacteria; Pseudomonadati; Pseudomonadota; Gammaproteobacteria; Enterobacterales; Enterobacteriaceae
Description: bacterial SSU rRNA
Rfam family: Bacterial small subunit ribosomal RNA
Source: RNAcentral
AAAUUGAAGAGUUUGAUCAUGGCUCAGAUUGAACGCUGGCGGCAGGCCUAACACAUGCAAGUCGAACGGUAGCACAGAGAGCUUGCUCUCGGGUGACGAGUGGCGGACGGGUGAGUAAUGUCUGGGAAACUGCCUGAUGGAGGGGGAUAACUACUGGAAACGGUGGCUAAUACCGCAUAACGUCGCAAGACCAAAGAGGGGGACCUUCGGGCCUCUUGCCAUCAGAUGUGCCCAGAUGGGAUUAGCUAGUUGGUGAGGUAACGGCUCACCAAGGCGACGAUCCCUAGCUGGUCUGAGAGGAUGACCAGCCACACUGGAACUGAGACACGGUCCAGACUCCUACGGGAGGCAGCAGUGGGGAAUAUUGCACAAUGGGCGCAAGCCUGAUGCAGCCAUGCCGCGUGUAUGAAGAAGGCCUUCGGGUUGUAAAGUACUUUCAGCGGGGAGGAAGGUGUUGUGGUUAAUAACCGCAGCAAUUGACGUUACCCGCAGAAGAAGCACCGGCUAACUCCGUGCCAGCAGCCGCGGUAAUACGGAGGGUGCAAGCGUUAAUCGGAAUUACUGGGCGUAAAGCGCACGCAGGCGGUCUGUCAAGUCGGAUGUGAAAUCCCCGGGCUCAACCUGGGAACUGCAUUCGAAACUGGCAGGCUUGAGUCUUGUAGAGGGGGGU